AUACGUAGGGGGCGAGCGUUGUCCGGAAUGAUUGGGCGUAAAGGGCGCGUAGGCGGCCCGGUAAGUCUGGAGUGAAAGUCCUGUUUUUAAGAUGGAAUUGCUUUGGAUACUGUCGGGCUUGAGUGCAGGAGAGGUAAGUGGAAUUCCCAGUGUAGCGGUGAAAUGCGUAGAGAUUGGGAGGAACACCAGUGGCGAAGGCGACUUACUGGACUGUAACUGACGCUGAGGCGCGAAAGUGUGGGGAGCAAACAGGAUUAGAUACCCUGGUAGUCCACACUGUAAACGAUGAAUGCUAGGUGUAAGAGGUAUCGACCCCUUUUGUGCCGGAGUCAACACAAUAAGCAUUCCGCCUGGGGAGUACGGCCGCAAGGUUGAAACUCAAAUGAAUUGACGGGG
RNAcentral lists this ribosomal RNA (396 nucleotides) under uncultured bacterium. RNAcentral's name for it is "partial 16S ribosomal RNA". It matches the Rfam family "Bacterial small subunit ribosomal RNA", at positions 523 to 918 of the family's 1533-position model. The record is from RNAcentral.